Molecule: long non-coding RNA, 751 nt
Organism: Prosopis cineraria
Lineage: Eukaryota; Viridiplantae; Streptophyta; Magnoliopsida; Fabales; Fabaceae
Exons: 2
Source: RefSeq, a predicted model, not a curated record
CAAUCACCCACACGGCUUUAACACUCUCUCUCUUAGUUUAACCGGUCAUCUGCUUGAGCCUUGAACUUAUUCAGAACUUUCUCUGUAAUUUUCUCUUCAUUUCUAUUAAUUAUAAUCAAUUCAACAAUCUCUUAUCACUUGAUUCCGUGUUGAGCCAUCUUAUAGCCUAUCUACUCGUUGCUUCUCUCCAUAAAUACAAUACCUGUAUCGGAUUAUAUUCCUCAUCGAGCUUCUUCAUCUACAGCAAACCCUACCUCUGUCUGUGACGAUCGAUCAACGUUAAUUGUGAGAACCUUGGAUUAAUUGUGAGAAGAAAUAUGAGUUCUGCAAGUAACAACAUCCAGAGCAUUAUUUGCCCUACCACUAGGCCUCCUCCAAGGACUCAGGACUCUAGUAACUCGACAAGAUCUGGCACUCAUAUCUCGACUUCCAAGGAUCACUUUUCCAAGAGUCGAUGAUGACUCUUUUCAUUCCGCUCCUUUCCCCAGAUUCAUGAAGCGUACGUUCGUCGUUGGAAAUGGAGUUAAGUGGUUCGAUGUAAAGGAGAAAUGAUUAAUGGAUGUCGUUGCAUCUGUAGGGUUCGUCAUCAUGAUAAUAUUGAUUAUGUUCUUUAUUCUUUAUUCUCUUUCUUAAAUUGUCCAUCUUUUCAUAAAGCUGCUUAAUUCUUGUAUCUGUUUUCUGUUUCCUUGUACUUUUUGUUUGCUUAUUGUAAUUAAUAAUUCAUCAUCGAAACACACUGGGAUUAUAAGUU